RNAcentral lists this ribosomal RNA (253 nucleotides) under uncultured microorganism. RNAcentral's name for it is "partial 16S ribosomal RNA". It matches the Rfam family "Archaeal small subunit ribosomal RNA", at positions 474 to 727 of the family's 1478-position model. The record is from RNAcentral.
UACCCGCAGCCCAAGUGGUGAUCGUUAUUAUUGGGCUUAAAACGUCCGUAGCCGGUCAGGUAAAUCUCUGGGUAAAUCUACUGGCCUAACCAGCCGAAUUCCGGAGAGACUACCUGACUUGGGACCGGGUGAGGGUGGAGGUACUUCAGGGGGAGGGGUGAAAUCCUUUAAUCCUUGAAGGACCACCAGUGGCGAAAGCGUCCACCUAGAACGGCUCCGACGGUAAGGGACGAAACCCUGGGGCGCAAACGGG